RNAcentral lists this ribosomal RNA (774 nucleotides) under uncultured Neocallimastigales. RNAcentral's name for it is "partial large subunit ribosomal RNA". It matches the Rfam family "Eukaryotic large subunit ribosomal RNA", at positions 24 to 633 of the family's 3401-position model. Lineage: Eukaryota; Fungi; Neocallimastigomycota; Neocallimastigomycetes; Neocallimastigales. The record is from RNAcentral.
UAUGUGAUCGUCUCUCGCAUAUCAAUAAGCGGAGGAAAAGAAACUAACAAGGAUUCCCCUAGUAACGGCGAGUGAAGCGGGAAGAGCUCAAAUUUGAAAUCUUAAAGGGUUUCCCUUUACGAAUUGUAGUUUAAAGAAGUGUUUUCUGUUGAGGUUUUGGUAAAAGUUCUUUGGAAUAGGACAUCAUAGAGGGUGAGAAUCCCGUAUUUGACCUUUACUUUCAACUUUGUGAUACACUUUCAAAGAGUCGGAUUGUUUGGGAAUGCAGUCCAAAAUGGGUGGUAAAUUUCAUCUAAAGCUAAAUAUUGGCGAGAGACCGAUAGCGAACAAGUACCGUGAGGGAAAGAUGAAAAGAACUUUGAAAAGAGAGUUAAACAGUACGUGAAAUUGUCAAAAGGGAAGCGUUUGACACCAGUGUUGUUUUUCUGAAAAUCAAUUAAAGAACUGUUUAUGCUAAGCUGUUUAGACUUUAUCAGCUAACUGUUUAGUUUUGAGCUUUUCUUUAAUGCACUUUUCAGUUAACAAGUCAACAUCAAUUUCUUUUGCUGUAAAAAAGCUUGAAGGAAGGUGGCUGAGAUUCGUCUUAAGUGUUUAUAGCCUCUUGCCUAUGCAGUCGGAGAGAUUGAGGUCUGCAGCGUAGAUCCUUCGGGGCUAAAUGCAUUUGUGCUAAGUUAUAGCAUUUUAUAGACAACUUGUUGACUAUGAUUUGUCUUGUAGCUUACUCGCUUAUGUUAUUUUACCUACGCUUAGGAUGUUGAAGACUCUACAGAGAUA